AAUAUACUCCCUCCAUCCCGAACUACUUGUCCUAGGUUCGUCCAGAUACAAAUGUAUCUAGAUACGUUUAGUGUUAGAUACAUUCGUAUCUAGACCAAUCUAAGAUACGUAGUUUGGGACGGAGGUAAUAUAUA
Non-coding RNA from Triticum aestivum (bread wheat), 134 nucleotides. The record is from Rfam. NCBI's taxonomy places the organism in Eukaryota, Viridiplantae, Streptophyta, Magnoliopsida, Poales, Poaceae.